CCUCCGGGUUUGGGGGAAGGCCGAGUCCCGCAGUAACAUGACGUGCAGGCCAGCACCCACCGUGAGCAGCACGUCGCCCCCGGGGAGCGGGCCUAAGACCGGAGGCCUCCUGUGCCGUCACAGUGGCCGUGACUCCGUGUCCUUUGCCUGUGAAGUCUUGGAAGAGCAGGGAGCCCAGGAAAAUGGAGAGGCCUGAAGGCCUGGGGCGGAGGAACACACGCCGGAGUGCCCGGGAUGUCUCUGCUCUUCAUCCUGAUCUCUGGUGCUGGCCAACUCUUCGGACAGGAAAAUACAUGCGAUGGCGGUGGACAAAUCAUGCGCCCACUGUAGGUUGUGCAGGCAGACUCGCCAAAGCAGGCAGCCAGAGGGAGCGGGGCCUUGUGACGGAGCCCACUGGGAUGCAAAGCCGCGGUCACCUUGCUAUGAAGGUUUCCUACCCUCCCCCUGACCCUCCAGAGCCUGGAGAGUACUGCUCUCCGGACACUCUGAAUGUGGUCUUCCUGCCCUUGUUAGGACAAGUCUACCCCGAUGCGUGGGCCGCACGCUGGCUGAUGAGUCCCCUCACCGGACGGGGGGCGGGGGGAGUGGCUUGCGUCCCUGGGAAGCCUGCGGGCCGCCACAUACACACACGCACAGGCACUCGCACACAUGCACACACGGAAACACACACACAUACACACAGAGACACACACAG
Long non-coding RNA from Lemur catta (Ring-tailed lemur), 694 nucleotides. RefSeq lists it as uncharacterized. The record is from RefSeq and is a predicted model, not a curated record. Lineage: Eukaryota; Metazoa; Chordata; Mammalia; Primates; Lemuridae. The transcript has 3 exons.